Molecule: long non-coding RNA, 130 nt
Organism: Lynx canadensis (Canada lynx)
Lineage: Eukaryota; Metazoa; Chordata; Mammalia; Carnivora; Felidae
Exons: 3
Source: RefSeq, a predicted model, not a curated record
CUUUUUAAAUCUGAAUGGCGUUCUCUGUGCCUCCUGGACUUGGAUGUCCAUUUCCUUCCAAAGAUUAGGGAAGGUCUCAGCUAUAAUUUGUUCAAAUAAACUUUCUGCCCCUCACUCUCUCUCUCUUCAU